RNAcentral lists this ribosomal RNA (655 nucleotides) under Staphylococcus aureus. RNAcentral describes it as "partial 23S ribosomal RNA". It matches the Rfam family "Bacterial large subunit ribosomal RNA", at positions 1603 to 2259 of the family's 2925-position model. Lineage: Bacteria; Bacillati; Bacillota; Bacilli; Caryophanales; Staphylococcaceae. The record is from RNAcentral.
CACUGCCGAGAAAAGCCUCUAGAUAGAAAAUAGGUGCCCGUACCGCAAACCGACACAGGUAGUCAAGAUGAGAAUUCUAAGGUGAGCGAGCGAACUCUCGUUAAGGAACUCGGCAAAAUGACCCCGUAACUUCGGGAGAAGGGGUGCUCUUUAGGGUUAACGCCCAGAAGAGCCGCAGUGAAUAGGCCCAAGCGACUGUUUAUCAAAAACACAGGUCUCUGCUAAACCGUAAGGUGAUGUAUAGGGGCUGACGCCUGCCCGGUGCUGGAAGGUUAAGAGGAGUGGUUAGCUUCUGCGAAGCUACGAAUCGAAGCCCCAGUAAACGGCGGCCGUAACUAUAACGGUCCUAAGGUAGCGAAAUUCCUUGUCGGGUAAGUUCCGACCCGCACGAAAGGCGUAACGAUUUGGGCACUGUCUCAACGAGAGACUCGGUGAAAUCAUAGUACCUGUGAAGAUGCAGGUUACCCGCGACAGGACGGAAAGACCCCGUGGAGCUUUACUGUAGCCUGAUAUUGAAAUUCGGCACAGCUUGUACAGGAUAGGUAGGAGCCUUUGAAACGUGAGCGCUAGCUUACGUGGAGGCGCUGGUGGGAUACUACCCUAGCUGUGUUGGCUUUCUAACCCGCACCACUUAUCGUGGUGGGAGACAGUGUCA